GGCAGCGUAGCUCAGUGGUAGAGCAGAGGAAUCAUAAUCCUUUGGUCGGGGGUUCAAAUCUCUCCGCUGCUACCA
RNAcentral lists this transfer RNA (75 nucleotides) under Alphaproteobacteria bacterium. RNAcentral describes it as "tRNA-Met". It matches the Rfam family "tRNA". From Rfam's summary of the family: Transfer RNA (tRNA) molecules are approximately 80 nucleotides in length. Their secondary structure includes four short double-helical elements and three loops (D, anti-codon, and T loops). The record is from RNAcentral. Lineage: Bacteria; Pseudomonadati; Pseudomonadota; Alphaproteobacteria.